This 420-nucleotide ribosomal RNA is filed under the name Triticum aestivum (bread wheat). Its description in RNAcentral is "partial small subunit ribosomal RNA". The record is from RNAcentral. Lineage: Eukaryota; Viridiplantae; Streptophyta; Magnoliopsida; Poales; Poaceae.
AUGGACCCAACUGAGAUUUUGAACGUUCGGUUUCAUAUUGGAGGGAAGUUCAUCCGCAUUGGUCCAAAUUUGGACUAUGUUGGGGGAGAUCAAGCAAUGUCAGAGAUUGAGAGGGAUAAAUUGUCUCUGCAGGAAGUGAAAGGCUAUUUAAAAGAUCAUACUCAGUUGAUGGAAUCAAUGAAGUUCUAUUUUAUGCUUCCUGGAAAAGAGCUUAUCAAUGGCUUGGUGUUCCUUAAUGAUGACAGUUGGUGUGUGAAGAUGGCUGAGUACAUUUGUGUUGGAGGGGUUGCUGAUGUGUAUGUGGAGUAUCAUGGAGAGGAAGAUAGAAAUGACAACAGCAGUGGGAGUGAUUUUGAGGAUGAAAUCAUGGAACAGAGUGAUGAUGAUGAACUAGAUGCAGUUAUAACUGCUGAAGAACCA